RNAcentral lists this transfer RNA (89 nucleotides) under bacterium. RNAcentral's name for it is "tRNA-Leu". It matches the Rfam family "tRNA". From Rfam's summary of the family: Transfer RNA (tRNA) molecules are approximately 80 nucleotides in length. Their secondary structure includes four short double-helical elements and three loops (D, anti-codon, and T loops). The record is from RNAcentral.
ACUACUAUGGCGGAAUAGGUAGACGCGCAGGACUUAAAAUCCUGUUGUCAGCAAUGACAGUGUGGGUUCGAUUCCCACUGGUAGUACAA